This is a non-coding RNA of Podarcis lilfordi (Lilford's wall lizard), 74 nucleotides long. NCBI's taxonomy places the organism in Eukaryota, Metazoa, Chordata, Lepidosauria, Squamata, Lacertidae. The record is from the annotation of a GenBank genome assembly.
AUUGCUGUGGUGCAGUGGAUCAGUGCAUCUGGCUAUCAACCAGAACAUUGGUAGUUCGAGCCCACCCAAGAAUG